Molecule: long non-coding RNA, 866 nt
Filed under: Homo sapiens (human)
Lineage: Eukaryota; Metazoa; Chordata; Mammalia; Primates; Hominidae
Description: HSALNT0381019
Source: RNAcentral
UGAGUUGCCAUCGUCACUCUGGACCCAUAGCUACUCCAUCCCGAGUAGCCAUGGGCUUACCAUAGAAGGAACAAACUCUUAAUCUUAGAACUGCUUUAGGCAGUGGGCGUGAUGGUUAAAAACUCGGCCUUUGGCGUCGACCUCAGACGGAGAUCUACCAAUUAGGAAAUUAGCUGUGAUUUAGAAAAUUUAAUAUUUCGAUGCCAUACUUUCCUAAUCUGCAAAAUUUUUGUAAAUACCUGUGACCUAGUGUCGUGAGCGCUUAGCAACACCUGACACCCACUAAGCUCUCAGCCAGUGGUUCUGAAAGUGGUUCUAGACCAGCAACAACAGCAGUAGCAGCAGCACCUGUGAACUUGUUAGAAAUGCAAAGUUUCAGGCCCAUUCCAGUUCUACUGAAUCUGAAACUCGAAGGGAACAGCAACCUAUGUUUUAAUAAACCCCAAGGUAUAUACCCAGUGACAUGAAUCCUGGAUCAUAAGAAGAGAGACCGAACACCAGGAAAGAAAAUACAGAUUUCCCCAGACUCUACCUGCUAUCACCAUUUUGUUGUAAUACACCUUAACUAUGGUCGCCAGAGAACCAUGAUGACAAAGAGGAUCAUGGAGAACAGCAAGCGCCAGAUGGCAUCGUCUACCCACAGCUCCCGCCAGUCCUACAAUACAGGGGAGAAGUACAACAUUUAUACACAUUAUCUUAACCCCUUGUUCAUAAAGCCUUUGGCAUAGAACAAAAAUCACUUAUUUGUUCAUUCAAGUUAUGUUUACUAAGAGCCUGCUACGUGCUCAGUACUGUGAAAGAUCAAUGGAAACCCAUCUCAAGGGGAGAAAAUGGACCAUCAUCAAACAAGCCAAUGAGAAGGAUAU